This 74-nucleotide transfer RNA is filed under the name Ignavibacteria bacterium. RNAcentral describes it as "tRNA-Asn". It matches the Rfam family "tRNA". From Rfam's summary of the family: Transfer RNA (tRNA) molecules are approximately 80 nucleotides in length. The record is from RNAcentral. Lineage: Bacteria; Pseudomonadati; Ignavibacteriota; Ignavibacteria.
UCCGAAGUAGCUCAGUUGGUUAGAGCAUCUGACUGUUAAUCAGAGGGUCGUAGGUUCAAGUCCUACCUUCGGAG